UACGGAGGAUCCGAGCGUUAUCCGGAUUUAUUGGGUCUAAAGGGUGCGUAGGCGGUUUGAUAAGUUAGAGGUGAAAUGUCGGGGCUCAACCCCGAAACUGCCUCUAAUACUGUUGGACUAGAGAAUAGUUGCGGUAGGCGGAAUGUAUGGUGUAGCGGUGAAAUGCUUAGAGAUCAUACAGAACACCGAUUGCGAAGGCAGCUUACCAAACUAUAUCUGACGUUGAGGCACGAAAGCGUGGGUAGCAAACAGG
This 253-nucleotide ribosomal RNA is filed under the name uncultured bacterium. Its description in RNAcentral is "partial 16S ribosomal RNA". It matches the Rfam family "Bacterial small subunit ribosomal RNA", at positions 524 to 776 of the family's 1533-position model. The record is from RNAcentral.